RNAcentral lists this ribosomal RNA (254 nucleotides) under uncultured bacterium. RNAcentral's name for it is "partial 16S ribosomal RNA". It matches the Rfam family "Bacterial small subunit ribosomal RNA", at positions 524 to 776 of the family's 1533-position model. The record is from RNAcentral.
UACAGAGGGUGCGAGCGUUGUCCGGAAUCACUGGGCGUAAAGGGCGCGUAGGUGGUGGCUUAAGCGUGCGGUGAAAGCUCGGGGCUCAACCCCGAGUCGGCCGUGCGAACUGGGCUCACUGGAGCAUAGUAGAGGCAGGUGGAAUUCCGGGUGUAGCGGUGGAAUGCGUAGAGAUCCGGAAGAACACCGGUGGCGAAGGCGGCCUGCUGGGCAACAACUGACGCUGAGGAGCGAAAGCGUGGGGAGCGAACAGG